This 169-nucleotide ribosomal RNA is filed under the name uncultured bacterium. RNAcentral's name for it is "partial 16S ribosomal RNA". It matches the Rfam family "Bacterial small subunit ribosomal RNA", at positions 338 to 524 of the family's 1533-position model. The record is from RNAcentral.
CCUACGGGAGGCAGCAGUGGGGAAUCUUAGACAAUGGGGGAAACCCUGAUCUAGCCAUGCCGCGUGAGCGAUGAAGGCCUUAGGGUUGUAAAGCUCUUUCAGUGGGGAAGAUAAUGACGGUACCCACAGAAGAAGCCCCGGCUAACUCCGUGCCAGCAGCCGCGGUAAU